CCCCGCACGGGGGGACAACAGCCGGAAACGGCUGCUAAUACCGCAUAUGCGCACGGCCCCGCAUGGGGCCGCGCGGAAAGCGCAUGCGGUGCGGGAUGGGUCCGCGUCUGAUUAGCUUGUUGGCGGGGUAACGGCCCACCAAGGCGACGAUCAGUAGCCGGCCUGAGAGGGUGGACGGCCACAUUGGGACUGAGACACGGCCCAGACUCCUACGGGAGGCAGCAGUGGGGGAUAUUGCACAAUGGGGGCAACCCUGAUGCAGCGACGCCGCGUGAGCGAUGGAGUACUUCGGUACGUAAAGCUCUGUCAGCAGGGAAGAGAAUGACGGUACCUGACCAAGAAGCCCCGGCUAAAUACGUGCCAGCAGCCGCGGUAAUACGUAUGGGGCAAGCGUUAUCCGGAUUUACUGGGUGUAAAGGGAGCGUAGGCGGCAGGGCAAGCCUGAUGUGAAAGCCCGGGGCUCAACCCCGGGACUGCAUUGGGAACUGCCCCGCUCGAGUGCCGGAGGGGCAGGCGGAAUUCCUAGUGUAGCGGUGAAAUG
RNAcentral lists this ribosomal RNA (541 nucleotides) under uncultured bacterium. Its description in RNAcentral is "bacterial SSU rRNA". It matches the Rfam family "Bacterial small subunit ribosomal RNA", at positions 129 to 688 of the family's 1533-position model. The record is from RNAcentral.